This 484-nucleotide ribosomal RNA is filed under the name uncultured bacterium. RNAcentral's name for it is "bacterial SSU rRNA". It matches the Rfam family "Bacterial small subunit ribosomal RNA", at positions 28 to 507 of the family's 1533-position model. The record is from RNAcentral.
GAUGAACGCUAGCGGCAGGCCUAACACAUGCAAGUCGAGGGGUAGAGUUCUUCGGGACUUGAGACCGGCGCACGGGUGCGUAACGCGUAUGCAAUCUACCUUAUACAGGGGAAUAGCCCAGAGAAAUUUGGAUUAAUGCCCCAUAGUGUUAUCGAAUCGCAUGGUUUGAUAACUAAAGUUCCAACGGUAUAAGAUGAGCAUGCGUCCCAUUAGUUAGUUGGUAAGGUAACGGCUUACCAAGACAAUGAUGGGUAGGGGUCCUGAGAGGGAGAUCCCCCACACUGGUACUGAGACACGGACCAGACUCCUACGGGAGGCAGCAGUGAGGAAUAUUGGUCAAUGGGCGCAAGCCUGAACCAGCCAUGCCGCGUGCAGGAAGACGGUCCUAUGGAUUGUAAACUGCUUUUAUACAGGAAGAAACGGUUCGCUUUAAUACAGUGGGCUAAUGACGGUACCGUAAGAAUAAGCACCGGCUAACUACGUG